Molecule: ribosomal RNA, 599 nt
Filed under: Limbodessus compactus
Lineage: Eukaryota; Metazoa; Arthropoda; Insecta; Coleoptera; Dytiscidae
Description: SSU rRNA
Rfam family: Eukaryotic small subunit ribosomal RNA
Source: RNAcentral
UUGUCUCAAAGAUUAAGCCAUGCAUGUCUCAGUACGAGCCACAUUAAGGUGAAACCGCGAAAGGCUCAUUAAAUCAGUUAUGGUUCCUUAGAUCGUACCCACAUUUACUUGGAUAACUGUGGUAAUUCUAGAGCUAAUACAUGCAGAUAGAGCUCCGACCGGAGACGGAAGGAGUGCUUUUAUUAGAACAAAACCAAUCGGCGGCGGGCGCGUUCGCGCGUUCGUUCGCCGCUCUACCUGGUGAAUCUGAAUAACUUUCAGCUGAUCGCACGGUCUCGAACCGGCGACGCAUCUUUCAAAUGUCUGCCUUAUCAACUGUCGAUGGUAGGUUCUGCGCCUACCAUGGUCGUAACGGGUAACGGGGAAUCAGGGUUCGAUUCCGGAGAGGGAGCCUGAGAAACGGCUACCACAUCCAAGGAAGGCAGCAGGCGCGCAAAUUACCCACUCCCGGCACGGGGAGGUAGUGACGAAAAAUAACGAUACGGGACUCAUCCGAGGCCCCGUAAUCGGAAUGAGUACACUUUAAAUCCUUUAACGAGGACCCAUUGGAGGGCAAGUCUGGUGCCAGCAGCCGCGGUAAUUCCAGCUCCAAUAGCGUA